GGGGAAUCUUGCACAAUGGGGGAAACCCUGAUGCAGCGAUGCCGCGUGAGUGAAGAAGGCCUUUGGGUUGUAAAGCUCUUUCGUCGGGGAAGAAAAUGACUGUACCCGAAUAAGAAGGUCCGGCUAACUUCGUGCCAGCAGCCGCGGUAAUACGAAGGGACCUAGCGUAGUUCGGAAUUACUGGGCUUAAAGAGCUCGUAGGUGGUUAGAAAAGUUGGUGGUGAAAUCCCAAGGCUUAACCUUGGAACUGCCACCAAAACUUUUUGACUAGAGUAUGAUAGAGGUAAGUGGAAUUUCUAGUGUAGAGGUGAAAUUCGUAGAUAUUAGAAAGAACACCAAUUGCGAAGGCAACUUUCUGGAUCAUUACUGACACUGAGGAGCGAAAGCAUGGGUAGCGAAGAGG
This 403-nucleotide ribosomal RNA is filed under the name uncultured bacterium. RNAcentral describes it as "bacterial SSU rRNA". It matches the Rfam family "Bacterial small subunit ribosomal RNA", at positions 356 to 776 of the family's 1533-position model. The record is from RNAcentral.